UUUUCAUCUGAACCAAUCAGAUGCCUGUUACUGGAAAGCCUGUUCUACACUGAUCCUUCCCCACUUUUUUGAGCAAGCAGUCUUUUGGAGCCCCCCAAGGGAACAAAGGUGCUAUCCUGUUGAGAUUCUGCCCCUGGGAAAAUCUCAUGAUAUCCAAUCCCUCAUCCGUGGUUCUCCGCUGUCUUCACUGCUCACCAUGAUAAGGGUCAAGCAGAUGGAAGAAAGAAAUGAUUAAGGAAUCUUUGGAAAUGCUCAGAAGGAAGACUAAGAUGCCUCUAAAGACACAGUGUGGGUGACAAUGGAAUAAUGAUGCUAACAUCACUAUGCCAUGUUCUUCUCUUGUAUCUACAAUAACUGCUGUGUUUUUCUGUGAUUAAUUCUGCCUCAAGGAAAAAAACAAGUGCUGCUUGCUGCUAGUGUCAGAAAAGCAGCAUUAUUGUAUGCAAAGUUACAUCAAGCCUGGAAUAAAGGAAUGUGCAUGACAAAA
Molecule: long non-coding RNA, 487 nt
Organism: Lacerta agilis (Sand lizard)
Lineage: Eukaryota; Metazoa; Chordata; Lepidosauria; Squamata; Lacertidae
Exons: 3
Source: RefSeq, a predicted model, not a curated record